GGCGCGAUGGCAGAGUGGUUAUGCAGCGGCCUGCAAAGCCGUGUACGUCGGUUCGAUUCCGGCUCGCGCCUCCA
RNAcentral lists this transfer RNA (74 nucleotides) under Burkholderiales bacterium. RNAcentral's name for it is "tRNA-Cys". It matches the Rfam family "tRNA". Rfam says of the family: Transfer RNA (tRNA) molecules are approximately 80 nucleotides in length. Their secondary structure includes four short double-helical elements and three loops (D, anti-codon, and T loops). RNAcentral also lists the same sequence under 3 other names. Lineage: Bacteria; Pseudomonadati; Pseudomonadota; Betaproteobacteria; Burkholderiales. The record is from RNAcentral.